GUCGAGAAUCUUCCGCAAUGCGCGAAAGCGUGACGGAGCGACACCGCGUGAUGGAUGAAGUCCUUCGGGGCGUAAACAUCUUUUAUAAAGGAGGAAAUUUUUGACGUUACUUUAUGAAUAAGGGGCUCCCAAUCUCGUGCCAGCAGGAGCGGUAAUACGAGAGCCUCAAGCGUUAUCCGGAAUCAUUGGGCGUAAAGGGUGCGUAGGUGGUUUGAUUAGUCUCCCGUUAAAACUUCGAGCUUAACUCGAAAAGAGCGGGGGAAACGGUCAAACUAGAGUAUGUGAGAGGUGUGUGGAACUCAUGGUGUAGGGGUGAAAUCCGUUGAUAUCAUGGGGAACACCAAAAGCGAAGGCAGCACACUGGCACAUCACUGACACUGAGGCACGAAACCUAAGGUAGCGAAUGGGAUUAGAAACCCGGUAGUCC
Molecule: ribosomal RNA, 427 nt
Filed under: uncultured bacterium
Lineage: Bacteria
Description: partial 16S ribosomal RNA
Rfam family: Bacterial small subunit ribosomal RNA
Source: RNAcentral